GCAGAGUAGCCGAGGCGCGUUAAGUGUUGCGAAACGGGACGUUGUUCGCAAACGAAAGGAUUUUUCCUGCGGUGCCGACGCGCGUCCGUUG
This 91-nucleotide non-coding RNA is filed under the name chicken gut metagenome. Its description in RNAcentral is "THF riboswitch". It matches the Rfam family "THF (Tetrahydrofolate) riboswitch aptamer". From Rfam's summary of the family: THF riboswitch presents a pseudoknot that joins P1-P2 and the loop of P3 and two THF binding. The record is from RNAcentral.